UACGUAGGGUGCAAGCGUUUAAUCGGAAUUACUGGGCGUAAAGCGUGCGCAGGCGGUUCGGAAAGAAAGAUGUGAAAUCCCAGAGCUUAACUUUGGAACUGCAUUUUUAACUACCGAGCUAGAGUGUGUCAGAGGGAGGUGGAAUUCCGCGUGUAGCAGUGAAAUGCGUAGAUAUGCGGAGGAACACCGAUGGCGAAGGCAGCCUCCUGGGGAUAACACUGACGCUCAUGCACGAAAG
This 238-nucleotide ribosomal RNA is filed under the name uncultured bacterium. RNAcentral describes it as "partial 16S ribosomal RNA". It matches the Rfam family "Bacterial small subunit ribosomal RNA", at positions 524 to 759 of the family's 1533-position model. The record is from RNAcentral.